AGUAAAGAUAGAGGCGCGAUUUUUAAGAGUACAACUAUUGAGAGGGCACAAUGAAGUAGUUGGAAAGGGGAAAUCGCCGAAGUGUUCGACAGAGCCAAACUGUUGAUUGCUGGGGUUGAGCAGAAUAUGCUCAGCACUGUCACAAAAUUUCAGGUAUGAAUUUGUGGAGGACUAUCAACAAA
Molecule: non-coding RNA, 182 nt
Filed under: Carnobacterium sp.
Lineage: Bacteria; Bacillati; Bacillota; Bacilli; Lactobacillales; Carnobacteriaceae
Description: Lysine sequence
Rfam family: Lysine riboswitch aptamer
About the family: Riboswitches are metabolite binding domains within certain messenger RNAs that serve as precision sensors for their corresponding targets. Allosteric rearrangement of mRNA structure is mediated by ligand binding, and this results in modulation of gene expression.
Source: RNAcentral